AACGCACAUUGCGCCCUUUGGCAUUCCGAAGGGCAUGCCUGUCCGAGCGUCAUUAUCCUCCCUCAAACCCCCGGGUUUGGUGUUGGACCGCGUUGGCCUUUUACCGGCCAACUGGUCUCAAAGACAAUGACGGCGUCCCCGGGACCCUCUUUGCACUGAGCUUUUCGGAGCACGCAGGGAGUUUCAAGGGCCCAGGGACCCGGUCGCCUCUAAACUAUUUUUCAGGUUGACCUCGGAUCAGGUAGGAAUACCCGCUGAACUUAA
This 264-nucleotide unclassified non-coding RNA is filed under the name Vanrija sp. RNAcentral describes it as "partial contains 5.8S ribosomal RNA, internal transcribed spacer 2, and large subunit ribosomal RNA". The record is from RNAcentral. Lineage: Eukaryota; Fungi; Basidiomycota; Tremellomycetes; Trichosporonales; Trichosporonaceae. RNAcentral also lists the same sequence under 2 other names.